RNAcentral lists this ribosomal RNA (465 nucleotides) under uncultured bacterium. RNAcentral's name for it is "bacterial SSU rRNA". It matches the Rfam family "Bacterial small subunit ribosomal RNA", at positions 926 to 1391 of the family's 1533-position model. The record is from RNAcentral.
CAAGCGGUGGAGCAUGUGGUUUAAUUCGAUGCAACGCGAAGAACCUUACCUGGUCUUGACAUCCACAGAAUCUUGCAGAGAUGCGAGAGUGCCUUCGGGAACUGUGAGACAGGUGCUGCAUGGCUGUCGUCAGCUCGUGUUGUGAAAUGUUGGGUUAAGUCCCGCAACGAGCGCAACCCUUAUCCUUUGUUGCCAUCGGUUAGGCCGGGAACUCAAAGGAGACUGCCGUUGAUAAAGCGGAGGAAGGUGGGGACGACGUCAAGUCAUCAUGGCCCUUACGACCAGGGCUACACACGUGCUACAAUGGCGUAUACAAAGGGAGGCGACCUCGCGAGAGCAAGCGGACCUCAUAAAGUACGUCUAAGUCCGGAUUGGAGUCUGCAACUCGACUCCAUGAAGUCGGAAUCGCUAGUAAUCGUGAAUCAGAAUGUCACGGUGAAUACGUUCCCGGGCCUUGUACACACC